UCCCUGGUGGCUCAGACGGUAAAGCGUCUGCCUAUAAUGCGGGAGACCCAGGUUCAAUCCCUGGGUCGGGAA
This 72-nucleotide transfer RNA is filed under the name Bos taurus (domestic cattle). It matches the Rfam family "tRNA". From Rfam's summary of the family: Transfer RNA (tRNA) molecules are approximately 80 nucleotides in length. Their secondary structure includes four short double-helical elements and three loops (D, anti-codon, and T loops). Further hydrogen bonds mediate the characteristic L-shaped molecular structure. tRNAs have two regions of fundamental functional importance: the anti-codon, which is responsible for specific mRNA codon recognition, and the 3' end, to which the tRNAs corresponding amino acid is attached (by aminoacyl-tRNA synthetases). tRNAs cope with the degeneracy of the genetic code in two manners: having more than one tRNA (with a specific anti-codon) for a particular amino acid; and 'wobble' base-pairing, i.e. permitting non-standard base-pairing at the 3rd anti-codon position. RNAcentral also lists the same sequence under 3 other names. The record is from Rfam by way of RNAcentral. Lineage: Eukaryota; Metazoa; Chordata; Mammalia; Artiodactyla; Bovidae.